CAGUAGCCGCGGGAACACAGAGGGUGCGAGCGUUAAUCGGAUUUACUGGGCGUAAAGCGUGCGUAGGCGGCUUUUUAAGUCGGAUGUGAAAUCCCUGAGCUUAACUUAGGAAUUGCAUUCGAUACUGGGAAGCUAGAGUAUGGGAGAGGAUGGUAGAAUUCCAGGUGUAGCGGUGUAAUGCGUAGAGAUCUGGAGGAAUACCGAUGGCGAAGGCAGCCAUCUGGCCUAAUACUAACGCUGAGGUACGAAAGCAUGGGGAGCAAACAGGAUUAGAGACCCCUGUAGUCCCUGUCUCUUAUAC
This 301-nucleotide ribosomal RNA is filed under the name uncultured bacterium. RNAcentral's name for it is "partial 16S ribosomal RNA". It matches the Rfam family "Bacterial small subunit ribosomal RNA", at positions 509 to 807 of the family's 1533-position model. The record is from RNAcentral.